Molecule: ribosomal RNA, 471 nt
Filed under: Salmonella enterica
Lineage: Bacteria; Pseudomonadati; Pseudomonadota; Gammaproteobacteria; Enterobacterales; Enterobacteriaceae
Description: bacterial SSU rRNA
Rfam family: Bacterial small subunit ribosomal RNA
Source: RNAcentral
AAAUUGAAGAGUUUGAUCAUGGCUCAGAUUGAACGCUGGCGGCAGGCCUAACACAUGCAAGUCGAACGGUAACAGGAAGCAGCUUGCUGCUUUGCUGACGAGUGGCGGAUGGGUGAGUAAUGUCUGGGAAACUGCCUGAUGGAGGGGGAUAACUACUGGAAACGGUGGCUAAUACCGCAUAACGUCGCAAGACCAAAGAGGGGGACCUUCGGGCCUCUUGCCAUCAGAUGUGCCCAGAUGGGAUUAGCUUGUUGGUGAGGUAACGGCUCACCAAGGCGACGAUCCCUAGCUGGUCUGAGAGGAUGACCAGCCACACUGGAACUGAGACACGGUCCAGACUCCUACGGGAGGCAGCAGUGGGGAAUAUUGCACAAUGGGCGCAAGCCUGAUGCAGCCAUGCCGCGUGUAUGAAGAAGGCCUUCGGGUUGUAAAGUACUUUCAGCGGGGAGGAAGGUGUUGUGGUUAAUAACC